UUUUAUUUUGAUGCUUCGGGAAACAUUUGAUUUUUUUAAAGUUUCAUGCCAAAAAGUAUAGUAUUGCAGCAGCAUCUAUGGGCAUUCUUUAUUAUAAAUCACUGCAUUAAAAAUGAACAGUGAGGUUACAGUGUACCCUUGCCUAUUUACUUGAAAUCAUUUACACUAUAUUCAAAGAAAUGAAAAAUAAAUUAUGUAAUAUUCUAAGCAGUAGUAUAAUGUUGCCUACUCAAAUAAAGGUUUUUUACAGUCUAUGGUGUGCGCGCACAAGUGAUGACGCAGUUUCAAAUCGGCCGCCAAAACUUCUCCGUUUAGUCCCGCCCACAGUGCAGCUGCAGCUGCUCUACUCAUCGACAGUAACGGAAGGGCGCGCGGAUGAUUUGAAUUUCAGGCUAUCCAUUAGGACCUGUGUGAGAAAAUAUCGUGCUCUUUCACUGAGACUGUUUUUCGAUAACUACAGCACAUUUCGAUGAUACCACAGCGGACAUCACGCCAACCGAUCACCGACUGAGGUUGGGUGGAAAGACUGGAGAGCUACAGCAGAUGAGCAUGGCAAUCCAGCUGGAUGUUCCAACGGUUGCUGCUUGCAUCUCAGCCUGCUGGAUGGAAAUUUCUUGCUGGAUGAUGAAUGACCUUCAACUCAACCAUGUCAAACUGCUCAUGUUUGCAGCCAACUCAACACGUAUAAACUUCACCAACCACAUUGCACUGCCUGAUCCUGUGGAUAUGCCCUGUACAACAUUAGUAAGAUCAUGCCCUUCCUCUCCUUCCUUUUGGAGCAUGCUACACAACUCCUUGUCCAAGCUUUUGUUCUAUCCAGACUGGACUGUUGUAAUGUUCUCUUGGCAGGCCUUCCAGCAUGCACUGUCAGACCUCUGCAGCUGAUCCAGAAUGCUGCAGCAAGAGUGAUCUUUAACUAGCUGAAUAGAGCACACGUCACACCUCUCUUCAUCAGUUUGCACUGGCUGCCAAUUUCCGCUCGCAUCAAAUUGAAGGUACUGAUGUUUGUCUGCAGAACAACCACUGGCUCUGCACCCCUAUACAUAAACUCACUACUUCAGACCUGUGUCCUCCAGAAGCUUGCGUUCUGCAAGUGAAUCACGCCUUGUGGUGCCAUCCCAUAGACACAAAAUCACUUUCAUGGACCUUUACUUUGACUGUUCCCUGCUGUUGACGUAAACUGCCUAACUCCACCCAUUUUCAAGAAAUGGCUAAAAAUGCAUCUUUUCUUGAACACUUGACCCAUUAAUACUAACUCUUUCUGCUUAUGAAAAAAAAGGGACUUUGUAUGUUGCGUUGGAUAAAAUGUAAAUGUAUAAAGGUUUACAGCAAUUUCCAUUUAAUAUAGGUAUUUUUGAAUGUUCUAAAUGAUGUAUUAAGUAUGUAUUUUCUAUCAUUUUAUUCUUCGUGUAACUUGACGUAAAUGUGCAGGUUCCUUUAAAAUUAUGCACAAGUACAGAAUAGAUUAAUUUUACAGAAAUUGGCUGGUAAUGUUGCUAUUUUUAUGUAUUUCUAAGUACUAUGCUUGUUUCUCUGUCCAACAAACAUUUUAAAUUAUAAUACUUAUGGAAAAUGAGCAAU
Long non-coding RNA from Onychostoma macrolepis, 1581 nucleotides. RefSeq lists it as uncharacterized. The record is from RefSeq and is a predicted model, not a curated record. The transcript is spliced from 3 exons. Lineage: Eukaryota; Metazoa; Chordata; Actinopteri; Cypriniformes; Cyprinidae.